GCCCGGGUGGCGGAAUGGCAUACGCGGGGGACUUAAAAUCCCUUGCCCUCCGGGGCGUGCGGGUUCGACUCCCGCCCCGGGCACCA
Molecule: transfer RNA, 86 nt
Filed under: Terriglobia bacterium
Lineage: Bacteria; Pseudomonadati; Acidobacteriota; Terriglobia
Description: tRNA-Leu
Rfam family: tRNA
About the family: Transfer RNA (tRNA) molecules are approximately 80 nucleotides in length. Their secondary structure includes four short double-helical elements and three loops (D, anti-codon, and T loops).
Source: RNAcentral